CGCCGACACCGAAACCCGCGGACUCGUCGCCUGCGGCACCGGCGUCGGCGUCGCGAUGUUCGCCAACAAGUUCCCCGGAGUCUUCGCCGCCACGUGUCUCUCCCCCGCCGACGCCCUCAACGCCCGCUCCAUCAACAACUCCAACGUCCUCGCCGUCUCCGGCAUGUCGACCCCGCCGGAAUCCGCCGUCGAGAUCCUCGACACCUGGCUCAACACUCCCUUCAAAUCCCCAUGCCCGGCGUCGGAGUCAAAACCCUGGCCGGAAGAGGUUUCAUCGUUUCUCGACAAAUCUAUCAACGAAAUGCCGAAAAUCGGGGCGG
Molecule: long non-coding RNA, 320 nt
Filed under: Fragaria vesca (wild strawberry)
Lineage: Eukaryota; Viridiplantae; Streptophyta; Magnoliopsida; Rosales; Rosaceae
Description: long non-coding RNA (FVES_LNC002716)
Source: RNAcentral